Molecule: long non-coding RNA, 567 nt
Filed under: Paramuricea clavata
Lineage: Eukaryota; Metazoa; Cnidaria; Anthozoa; Malacalcyonacea; Plexauridae
Source: RNAcentral
UUAUAAUUAUGUUUAGAAGAUCAGAAUAUUCAUAAAUUCUUAUUUUGUUUCAUAAAUAGUUCUUUAAUAUUCGAAACAAAUUCCAUAUCUGCUUCGUCUGCCAUCGCCAUGUUUACUCGUCCCAAUCUACAUGCUGCACGGCAUUGCCGCCCCUCCUGGCAAAAUAAUAAGCAAGCGAGAAAAAUUAAGGAGAAAAUAAGAGGGUAGGAACACUGUGGGCGUUUCGUGGGCGUUUCAUCGCUCUGGGCGAAUCAGCUUGCUCAAUCUUGUAUCACAUGACUAAUUCAAAUCGUCAUAGGCGGGAAGCAGCAUUACACGUCAUCCCUACGUCAAAUAAAACGUUAUAAAACGCGUCGUGGAUACGUUUGUGCCAUAUAUGGAAGUUAUGGAUACGUUUGUGCCAUAUAUGGAAGUGUCACUGCAUCCAGCUUAUGACAACGAUGUUCCUACCCUCUUAUUUUCUCCUUAAUUUUUCUCGCUUGCUUAUUAUCUUGCCAGGAGGGGCGGCAAUGCCGUGUAGUAUGUAGAUUGGGGCGAGUAAACAUGGCGGCGGCAGACAAAGCAGAU